Molecule: long non-coding RNA, 431 nt
Filed under: Calidris pygmaea (Spoon-billed sandpiper)
Lineage: Eukaryota; Metazoa; Chordata; Aves; Charadriiformes; Scolopacidae
Description: lncRNA (ENSCPGG00000005783.1)
Source: RNAcentral
AGGGGGAGCGGGGCUGCCGCCCGCCGGGGAAGGCCGCGGCUGAGGAGACACCUGGGUUUCCCUGGCAACAGAAUGGCGAUAUCAGUCAUCCAAUGCUGUAGCAGCACUCUGAUCUGCAAGACUGAGAGAUUUUGAAAAACAUCUCAUCUAGAAAUCAGAACUUUUGCAUAAAGGCUUUCAGAUCACACUUCAUCCUACAGCUGUGUCUUCAGGAAGGAGCUUCUGCAUGGGAAUGAAGGUACAGAAGAAGGACUCAUUAAUGCUUGGCCUCUGCCUGUGGUCUGCAAUGAGAUAUGGCAAAGCUCAGUCCUCAAGCCUUCUUCCUGUGACCAGGUACAAAUGUGUUUGGUUUUUUUGUUUCCUAAAGAGUAGAUAUAUUAGCUCAAUGGAAACUCUAAUCUUAUAUGCCUCCCCUGACCACAAUAGAUUCC